This 425-nucleotide ribosomal RNA is filed under the name Actinobacteridae bacterium Ellin7205. RNAcentral describes it as "bacterial SSU rRNA". It matches the Rfam family "Bacterial small subunit ribosomal RNA", at positions 28 to 456 of the family's 1533-position model. Lineage: Bacteria; Bacillati; Actinomycetota; Actinomycetes. The record is from RNAcentral.
GACGAACGCUGGCGGCGUGCUUAACACAUGCAAGUCGAACGGUGAACCACCUUCGGGUGGGGAUCAGUGGCGAACGGGUGAGUAACACGUGGGUAACCUGCCCUCCACUCUGGGAUAACUCCGGGAAACCGGGGCUAAUACCGGAUACGACCUGAGGCGGCAUCGCCUCGGGUGGAAAGUUUUUCGGUGGAGGAUGGACCCGCGGCCUAUCAGCUUGUUGGUGGGGUAAUGGCCUACCAAGGCGAUGACGGGUAGCCGGCCUGAGAGGGCGACCGGCCACACUGGGACUGAGACACGGCCCAGACUCCUACGGGAGGCAGCAGUGGGGAAUAUUGCACAAUGGGCGAAAGCCUGAUGCAGCGACGCCGCGUGAGGGAUGACGGCCUUCGGGUUGUAAACCUCUUUCAGCAGGGACGAAGCGCAAG